GUUGACCACUUUUAUUAACAGUAAAAUAUAUCACAAUAUUGAAUAUGUCACAUGUAAAUAACAAUAAGAUGUAGACAGCUAGUGUAAACCAAUGGGACUGUGUAUUACACUGAAGCAACAGAAAAUGUUUUUGAGGUUAGUGGGAAACCAGUAUGGUUCUGAGGGAAGAUAAGGUGCUUUCUCCUUCCUUUCAGAUGUCUAUUGAAUAAUUGAACUCUUUAGGUGAAACAGGUAACAAAAUUUGUUAAUCUAAAUAAUACUAAAGUGUCAAUUUUAUCCUUUAGAACUAAUCAUCACUUUAUUUCUUCUUUUGCAUCGGUGACAUAUAUCUCAAACAUUUAAUUUAUAUAAUUGUUUUCAUGAUCAGCACAUUUAUCAAUUUGAAAAUAAAAAGCCUACUAAAGACCUUUGAAAAUUUUUUUGUCUGAUGUUGUAUACCCAUUCUCUGUAUGGUUAGAUAGGUAGGUAGGCAUUUUAUUCUUUUUAGACCAACAACAUAAGUUUUGUUUUAUAGACAAGAAAACAACUUUAUGAUUAUAGCAGGAAUUUUUGUUCUCCAAAAAGUUGGAAAUAAUUUGUGUUAAAAAAUUUCUGAUACUCUUUGUAGGUGGGGAGGUAGGCAACAUUUAAUAAUUAAUAUUCUAUGUUUGGCCCGAUACUUAUAAUGAAAUAAUUGACUCACAAACAAAUGGACGAAGGAACGAACGAACAACAGACAAACAAAAGGACGCACAGACCAAAAUUCAUAAUGCCCAUAAAUGGGUCAUAAAAAUGCUUAUGAAAAUACUUUAUAUACACAAAGAAUAACUUUAUAUGAAUGACAAAUUGUUUUCCCGAUAUAACUAUUUAAAAAAUGCAUUAAAAAUUGUAAAAUGAUAUUCAACAUGUGAAAAUAAAUGGUCUUAGGGGAUUAAAACACUUAAACCUCUUACAUGAAUGAAAUGAAUUAAAGCUGAUAAAACUUUCAAAUGAAUGAAUAAUUCUUCCAUGCAAAUUAGCUCAUCUUGCACCAA
RNAcentral lists this long non-coding RNA (1013 nucleotides) under Mytilus galloprovincialis (Mediterranean mussel). Lineage: Eukaryota; Metazoa; Mollusca; Bivalvia; Mytilida; Mytilidae. The record is from RNAcentral.